AACCUACUUAGGCGGUGCGAUGUCGAGCAUGGUCAGUCAAAUGUAAUAUUGGUAAAAUUCUUAAAUACAUAUGUCUUAUGCAUUUAUAAUCGGCAAUGUCUAUUUAUUUAUUUAUUAUAAUGAAAUUUGAAAGUAUUUAUAAAAAUUUUUAAACGAUGCCAGCUAGCAAUUGGGUGUAGCUACUUUUAUGGCUCCCUCAGUCGUUUCCCGGGAAACCAAAGCUUUUGGGCUCCGGGGGAAGUAUGGUUUCAAAGCUGAAACUUAAAGGAAUUGACGGAAGGGCACCACCAGGAGUGGAGCCUGCGGUUUAAUUUGACUCAACACGGGAAAACUUACCAGGUCCGAACAUAAGUGUGUAAGACAGAUUGAUAGCUCUUUCUCGAAUCUAUGGGUGGUGGUAAAUAGCCGUUCUCAGUUCCUAGAGGAAGUAAAAGUCGUAACAAGGUUUCCGUAGGUGAACCUGCGGAUGGAUCAUUAUUUUAUUUUCCAACCGUUACUAAAAUAAAUAAAUACCAAAUUAAUAUAAAGAUAUAUAAAAUGAAAAUGAAAUUGAAGAUGAGAGCAUAAAAUGAAAAUGAAAUUUAUUAUUAUUAUUAUUAAAUCUGAUCAGGGGAAGUCGAUUUAAUACAAUAUUUGAUUUGAAAAAUUAAAUUAAAUUAAAUUUAAAUAAAGUAAAAUGAGUAUAAAUAUAUGUAGAAUCGCGGUAUGGUAGAGGUGAUUUCGAGUGAGAACGGGUAUCGAUGUAAUAUCGAUUAAAAACGAUAUACGAUGGUGAGGAGUGGUCAGUCAGUCCGAAGAGAGUCAGUCGAAUAGAGUGAGACGGUAAAGUUGCGUCUCAAAGUGUG
This 845-nucleotide non-coding RNA is filed under the name Drosophila willistoni. RNAcentral describes it as "Eukaryotic small subunit ribosomal RNA". The stretch from base 1 to 477 matches the Rfam family "Eukaryotic small subunit ribosomal RNA", at positions 637 to 1831 of the family's 1831-position model. The record is from Rfam by way of RNAcentral. Lineage: Eukaryota; Metazoa; Arthropoda; Insecta; Diptera; Drosophilidae.